GAUGAACGCUGGCGGCGUGCCUAAUACAUGCAAGUCGAGCGAACAGACGAGGAGCUUGCUCCUCUGACGUUAGCGGCGGACGGGUGAGUAACACGUGGAUAACCUACCUAUAAGACUGGGAUAACUUCGGGAAACCGGAGCUAAUACCGGAUAAUAUAUUGAACCGCAUGGUUCAAUAGUGAAAGACGGUUUUGCUGUCACUUAUAGAUGGAUCCGCGCCGCAUUAGCUAGUUGGUAAGGUAACGGCUUACCAAGGCAACGAUGCGUAGCCGACCUGAGAGGGUGAUCGGCCACACUGGAACUGAGACACGGUCCAGACUCCUACGGGAGGCAGCAGUAGGGAAUCUUGCGCAAUGGGCGAAAGCCUGACGGAGCAACGCCGCGUGAGUGAUGAAGGUCUUCGGAUCGUAAAACUCUGUUAUUAGGGAAGAACAAAUGUGUAAGUAACUAUGCACAUCUUGACGGUACCUAAUCAGAAAGCCACGGCUAACUACGUG
This 497-nucleotide ribosomal RNA is filed under the name uncultured bacterium. Its description in RNAcentral is "partial 16S ribosomal RNA". It matches the Rfam family "Bacterial small subunit ribosomal RNA", at positions 28 to 507 of the family's 1533-position model. The record is from RNAcentral.